Molecule: ribosomal RNA, 460 nt
Filed under: uncultured bacterium
Lineage: Bacteria
Description: partial 16S ribosomal RNA
Rfam family: Bacterial small subunit ribosomal RNA
Source: RNAcentral
CCUACGGGGGGCAGCAGUGAGGAAUAUUGGUCAAUGGACGAAAGUCUGAACCAGCCAUGCCGCGUGCAGGAAGACGGCUCUAUGAGUUGUAAACUGCUUUUGUACGGGGAUAAACGCAUAUACGCGUAUCUGUCUGAAAGUAUCGUACGAAUAAGGAUCGGCUAACUCCGUGCCAGCAGCCGCGGUAAUACGGAGGAUUCGAGCGUUAUCCGGAUUUAUUGGGUUUAAAGGGUGCGUAGGCGGUCGGAUAAGUUAGAGGUGAAAUCCCGAGGCUCAACUGCGGAAUUGCCGUUGAUACUGGUCGGCUAGAGAGUAGUAGAGGUAGGCGUAAUGUAUGGUGUAGCGGUGAAAUGCUUAGAUAUCACACAGAACACCGAUUGCGAAGGCAGCUCACCGGGCUACUUCUGACGUUGAGGCACGAAAGCGUGGGGAGCAAACAGGAUUAGAUACCCGGGUAGUC